RNAcentral lists this long non-coding RNA (1821 nucleotides) under Salvia miltiorrhiza (redroot sage). RNAcentral's name for it is "long non-coding RNA (SMIL_LNC011628)". Lineage: Eukaryota; Viridiplantae; Streptophyta; Magnoliopsida; Lamiales; Lamiaceae. The record is from RNAcentral.
CCAAACAAAAAGGAUAACCAUGUAUAUUUGUGGGAAUUUAGAUAAAACCCAAUUCACUUCUACCUAGCUACUGUCGACUGUUUUCAAAAAAAAAAGGGAAGAGAACAGAGCCAUCUUCCUCACCCUUCAAGUUUAAAUUCGUAGAGAUUUUCAAGUAGCAGCUGCACUACUUUAAAAGAAGAAGGUGAAUUUCUUCGAUUCUAUGUUUUCCUACAAUUCUAGCUUGAAGAAAGUUUAUUCCUUGAAUUCUAGGGUUCUUCGAAAUUUGGGAUUAUAUUCUAGAGUUGAAGUAUGACUUCAAUAUUGAUAUAUAUUGUGUUUUUGAUGUUCCUAAGCAUGAUUGUGGUGGGUAAUUGCAGUAAUUGUUACUCGAUUUUGGAUUUUUCUCAAGUUAGUUCUAGGUUGAGUUCGAAAAUUCUGAUUAUGUUCUUGAAUAAAUGAGUUUAUAUAUGUGCUCUUGAGCUGGAAUUAUGUUAUAUAUGAGUAUAUUAUGAGUUUGCACUCUAGGGUUGUGAGAUUGAUUUUGUUAGUUUAGGGGAAGUUGGGGCUUUUGAAUUGAGAAGGUUUAUAUGCUAUUGUUUGAUGGAGAUAUGUAUAUUAUGAUGUGAUUUUAUUAAUUAUGGAGAUUAGAACAGCCCUACUACCCAAUUCUUUUAUGAAGCUCUGUUGUAUAAAGAGAGGGAAGUGAUAAAGUUGCUAUGUGUAUGCAUGUAGUUGAGAGUAGUAGCAUUGGUGGGGUUUAAUUUUAGCUCAUUAAGGUUUCUUUUAAAGAGAUUGAGAUGAUUAAAGAUAUUAGUUUAUUAAACUAUAUAUGCAUAUGUUUAUUGAGAGUUGAUGAACAUCUUUUAACUCAUUCUUUUAUCUUUCCUUAUUGAAUUCAGAAAAAUGAUUUUAGUUUAUUGAUGAUGUGAUGUGAGGAAAUGUUAGGAUAAUAAGGGAAUAGCAAACAUGAGUUAUUAUUACAAUAUUAUAUUAUAUAUAUAUAUUUUCUUACUUAUUUUUCUUACAAAAUUUUAUCUAUUUAAAGGUUCCGGCUAGGAACGAGCCCGACACUAGAGUACGAAGUAAGAGAAACAUAUCAGGUGGGCUUACUAACUCAAGAAACAAUGAUGCAUACUUUAUUAUAUAAAGUUUAAGUGUAUGCAUUUAUUUUCAAAUUGUUGACUUGCCAAUGUUUAAGUUUUGUAUGAUACCAUCUACAUAGAAGAACGAAUUCGAGUCCUGAGCGAGUCAGGAUUUGUGUACACAGAGUGACGGUUAACCUUGAGUUAGCUUGUCGUUACGUUUGGGAAGGAGGCCUACUUCUCAACGUGUUUAUUGAGACUAGUAGAUAUGGUACAUACUUACAUGAGAACUUAGUCUGCGCAGACACUUUCAAAUACUAUGUAAAAACAGUUUAGCAAACACAGGUUGCUUCAGAAAAUCCCUUGUGUAUUGCUUAAAGUGGCAAGUUCAAUAUAUAGCAUUAUCAUGCAGAGUUUUAAAUUUUUUCGGCAUAUGUUCACUGAGUGUUUGUGGUACUCAGCCCUGCAUAUCUUUUUAAAUGUGCAGGUUAAGUUUGGAUGAAGAUGGAAGUGUGCUGAGCUGGAGCUUUUUGUUUAUGUAAAUAGUAAUAGGCUCAGGAUGUUGUGUCUUCAUACAUAAUGUCCCAUGAUGUACUCCGCUGCAACACUUUAUUUCUCUUAUCACUUUUGACGUGUUGUAGAAUGUUUUAAAACCUUAACCUGUAUAUGAGCGUGAUAAGUCUUGGUUAUGAUAUUUAUUUGGUCUAAACUUCUUUUGUUAAAGUUUGAUGGCUAUGUAUGUAAGUUAAUUAUACGU